GACAUUCAUACUAAAUUCUAGAUUUCCAGAAUGUCACAAGAAAGAAGUAGAAAAGCAUAUCAAUAAAAUGCUGGACCAAAAUAUUAUUGAACUCUCUUCUUCUCCUUGGAGCUCACCAAUUUGGUUUUUGUCCGAGACCUCAAUGUCGCAGCAAAAGAGUUGGGUGAGAUAGUAGGGAAUCUUGUUGAGCGGUGUUUGGAGGGUGAUAAAGAGACGGCGUGUCGAAAGAGAUAAUAUCUCUAAUAAGAUCAGCCUAUCAGGUUUGGGCAUUGAAAGGGUGAGCAUGCGUACAACUGCAACAGGGGCGCAGCCGUUAGAGAUCCCAGAUUCCCAGAGGGGGGAAAAGGCCGACAGCCGUGGCAGCUAAGGGUGGUUGCUCUUUUCAUCAAAUUAAGCCUGGGAAAAUCCUUAGGCCUGAGAAUGGUAUGGUGGACAUAUUUAUCCUGUGUCCGAUCUCUGCUGCCAAGAAGGUAUCCGAAGGGAGGCUUCUUUUUGGGUGGAGCUCGGCCAGGGAAGAAAUACGUAAGAAAUGACCUCUAAGAUGCUUUAAAUGUAUGCGACUGGGGCAUACAAGAGAAGUGUGUACAUCAGAGGAUCUAGGACUGGCGUGUUAUAGGUGUGAGUGCGGUUUGCAGGCGAAAGCUUUAUUGGUGACUUGGGUCUUGCGAUCCAGCGGGCUGGGACUUAAAGGCUGGGUUGACACUUUUGUAAAUCUCAGGGGGCCGCUUCUAGACGAGUGGGCGGCAGAGUUAGGGCUUCUGUUUAAUAAUAGGGGGACGGAGCGAACAUGUGUACGACCGCAGGGAGUCACGCUUGUCACUUCAAACUUCGCGUGGAUUUGGAGGUAAUCAGGGAUUUGGAGACGUUCUCAGAUCACCGUUACAUAAGAUUUGUUGUUUGUUAAUGCUUCUUUAGGCCCACCUCCCUUAACGGACUACAGCGAAAUAUUUGGGCAUGCACCUGGACAAACGCCUGACUUGGCAAGACCAUAUAAAAGCCAAGAAGGAGCAUGCUAUUGGUAGGUUUCGUAGCAUGAACUGGCUAUUAGGUAGAAAUGCGGCACUCAGUUUGGACAAUAAACUCCUCAUCUACAAAACUGUAAUAAAACCAAUAUGGAUAUAUGGAUAUAUAUGGAUCGGUAGUAAGAAGAAAGGCACAAUGUCUUCUUGCAGCACCUCAUACAAUGGGAAAAAGGACAGAGAAACCGUGGAAGGAACUAACGGCACUCCGGUUCUUCAAGCAAAUCGAAAAUAUUAGUGACCGUGAUGCAAUAGCUGGCCUGCCGCUAGUGCUGCUUGAAGAAGCGGCAGUUAUGUGGCAAGGUACUAAGAAUAUUAUCACUACUUUUGCUGCAAAGAAAGCAGCAUAUAUGCUGCUAUAUACAAUAACAACAGCUCAACAUUGUUUACGGUCUGAUAACUUAACCAUCCGGGAUAAAAAUUCCAGAGAGAAAGUGGUCAGUUUCGAGGACCUACGGAAACAAGCCCGUGCUAUGUGCCCGGUGAAACAUGUUAUAGUUUUAAUAACAAACUAAUGUUUAUUUUAAGAGUUCCAUUAGUAUCUACGAAUAGUUUUAAUUUAUAUGAAACAAUAGCAUUACCAAAUCCCUAUAGCAAUGUUAAUCCAACCACUUUUACUUUUAUUGUUCCCAGUUUUAAAUAUAUCGCAGUGGCCAAAGACAAAUCAGAAUACUGUCAUUUAGAUACUCUUAAUAAUUGCAAAUUAGUUAAUAUUAACCAACAUUCAAUUUUAAAAUACGAGACUCACUAUUUAAUCAUAUUUUAUGUUUUUCUUACAAUAAAAAACGUAGCCAUCUCCUAUCCAGAUCCUCUCGAUCAAAUCUCUGAAAUUAAUCAUACAGAAGAUAUCCCAGCACCCUAGCAUCAGAAGACACCUAUAAAGGAUAUCUUUUCCUAAACUUCUAAUUUUAACCCCGAAGUUUAGGCUUACCCCAGGAGAUGUUACAGCCUUAUUCUGUUAGCCUUAGAGCUGACUUCAUUCUCUCUUUUCGACAACAUAAACACUGCUUCCUAUUUAAUAAAGAUUACGCUCAAACCCAGUUGUUUCCUACUCCUUAUCCAAGACGGUUGCUCCAAAUUCAAUUAUUUUUUUUUAAAUCUAUAUUCAAAUUCAAUUACAGUACGCCGAAUAUGCGCGACCUGAGGAGACUGGUUCCAGUAUUGGUACCAUCAGAAUCUGAUUAUACUCAAGACUCGAUGUCAACGGUAGAAAAUAAUUCAUUGACAACACAUGAUCACCCAGGAAAAAUAAAGAAACGAAUGAAUCCUGUCGAUGUUGAGAUUCUGAAGAUUUUUCAGAGUUCAAAUAAAGUGCAGAUGAGCAACUCGCCUGUGAAAACACUAAUUUAAUCGGAAGAAGAUGAAGCACUCUUGGUCUCUGUAUUACCCUCUAUAUAAAGAUUACCAGAGGAUGAUAGAAUGGAAUUUAGGAUAGAUGUGAUGCAAUUAAUUAGGAAAUACAUUGAUCGCCUACGUAUGCACGACACUCCAUUCCUACAGACCCGGGCGAGUUGAAGAUGAGAUUUUAAGAUAAAUAACACAAGGUGUAAACAAAAAUAUCAACUUUGAUAAUACUUCUGCUGUUAGUACUAAUACUGUAUUGGAUUCAUUUAUUAAUGAGUCAAAAGUUUCAAUGUCUGCACUUCAUCACUCGGAAGAAUCAGAAACUGAUGCAGCAGUAAAUUCGAUUACCAAUAAUAAUAUAAAUACUCUUUCUGAAUCAACUACACAAGACACUACAUCAAGUUUUUGAGAACAUGUAAGAAUUAUUCAUAAUAAGUAAAUUAAAUAAAAAAAGGCCGUGGUUGUUCCUAAUAACGUAAGAUUGAUAUAGUUAAUAUUAGGUUUGGUUUUGUAUAACGACUGUUUACUUAACCAUGUACAAUUAUAAACUUAACCAAUGGUUAAUUUGUUGCCAGUGCAAUGAACAAUGACAUCCCAAAAAAUGUAGUUUGUUUUUGUGGGGAAUAUUUAUUUUGUAUGACACUAGACAUACUGAGUGAACGAAAUCCAUUUUUGCCAUCUUCAUUCGUUAUUUGCGCUUUGAAGAGUGUAAAGUGUCAAAUUAAUAUACAUUAUACUAUACUAAAAUACAUAAAUAACGAUGUCCGCAAACAGCCAACGGUCAAACAAGGACCGUACUGCUAACUUCGCCAAAAAAGAAACUCCCAAAUUAAAGGUGCUACUGAAGGAUUACCCAGUCCUAACCUGCAAAAAAGCUGAUCACUCCAGCAAUGUACAAAAAGAUGCAGUUUGGAAAUCUCUUCGUGACGUUUUCAAUUCCGAUGGAACACCGAAGUGUUAAGCAGUUACAGCAGAAAUAUAACAAUAUUAAAAAAAACUGCAAGAAUGGAAAUGGCAGCAGAGACGGAAGACGCCUAACAGGAGGUGGACCAGCUCCUCCUAAACCAUCAGACACCACAGAGUGGUUAAGUAUAAUGGGAGAGUCAAUAUCGGGUCUUCCUGCGGUGUAUGACAGCGAUGCAUUGGAUAUUAGUAAUGUAGAAGCAAAAAAUAUUAGAGACUCCUCUGAUGUAAAUAUAGAAUUUAAAAUUAGGACACGCCCAACAUGUGCCUGUAGUAAUGAAGAUCAAACAGUUGAACAUGUGCUCCUACAUUGCCCUAUAUUCGCAUCGUCCAGGCACGACCUGGAGCAACAAAUGCAGAUGACUGUAGACCGUGACGGCCUACAGGACAUGUUAAUAAAGCACAGAUCGUGCUGGAACAGUUCUGCGAUAAAAUUGUUAAAUAUAUUAAGGCGGCAAACAAAACUCCAAGAACGGGUCUCCCCUUUUUAGUUGAGAGCUAUCUCCUAGUGAAGGUGUACCCGCAGCAAUGCAGAAUCAAAAUGAACCAAAUAAUGAUGAAGCGAAGCGCAUGCGCCAGCGCGGCAGAAGGCCAAAUCAAAAGCCAGAUGCAGCGACCCGCGCCCCAGCACCACAGCCCGCUCCCGCACCAGAACUAUUGAAACAAGUGAUUGAGCGACCCGCACCAAAAAUCUCGUCAGGUCUUCCACAGCCAAAGAAACUUUCUACUACAGCAUCGGAACUGAUUAACGACAUUUUAUGGAAAGAGGGUCUCGUUCUUGACGGUGAGGUAGGCUUGGUCAACUCCCGGCCGAUCCAAGAGUUCAGCCCAGACGCAUCAGGCUUCGAAUCAUUACUUGAGGAAGAAUACAAGGCCAUCUCAGAUGCAGACAAAGCCUUUGUGAAGGCCAUCCCCCAAUCGGUUUAUAACCACAUUCACCACGUGCUGUACUGGUACAGACUAUCAAUACAAGCCGUGGCUAAUGGAACGUCAUCGCGUGAGCAGGAGCAACUAAUCAAUGUUGUGAACUCCCACGACGUAAGUGUCCCUUCUGGCGCCGCCAUCCCUUCUGGCGCCGCCGAUAUCUUGCAGGCCUUGGCGACUUUGAAGACGUGACUGGCGUCAAGCAUCGGAUGACAUCAACGGAACCGAACGACAUCGGGCAUUUUGGCAGAGCGACGGCUCAAACACAUCAACGGGUCUCGCGAGGAAUUGCGUCCCGGCUCGCCCAUGAAUAUUGUAAACAAAAAUAUUACAGAUGUAGCCGGGGCGUAUUUCGCGAGACGUGUGAUGUGAAGCUUAGAUAUAGAAAAAGUACCUGGACACAAUGAAAGGGGAGUAGAAAAGGCACUUCUCAAAGUAUGCCAUUGAUAAAAAACAGAGACUGGGAGAAAAACUGUAAGGAGAACAUUCCCAACUAUAUAGAAGAUCCAAAUGUAUUUGACUCUUCAACACCAAAGGCUAUGCUGCGAAAACCAGUCUCUAAAGAGUAACUCUUUUCUGUGUCCUACGACAAAAGGAAAAGUUAUUUUAACCCGUCGGAAACAAGGAAGCGGAUUAUGACAUACACGGAUAAAAAAAUUAAUUUUUUAAAACAAAAAGAAAUAAGAGAGCAUGAUUUAUCAAAAUAUGCUAAAGAAGAGCAUGAAAAACAUAUGCUGCACGAAGAAGAGGCUCACAAAAAAUCCAUGCUGCAUAAAGAGGAAGUACAUCAAAAAGCGAUGCAGUAGCAAGAAGAGCUGCAUCAAAUUGAGGUGGAAUGCAAGAAGCAACAUUUAGAAAAUAUGAAAUAGUUUCAUGUAAAUUUUGUAAUGUUUUUUUAAUAAAAAUAGUUUGCAUUUAAGUUAAAAUUAAAUAGUUUAUUAAUCAA
This is a long non-coding RNA of Pieris napi, 5196 nucleotides long. RefSeq lists it as uncharacterized. NCBI's taxonomy places the organism in Eukaryota, Metazoa, Arthropoda, Insecta, Lepidoptera, Pieridae. The transcript is spliced from 7 exons. The record is from RefSeq and is a predicted model, not a curated record.